Long non-coding RNA from Ooceraea biroi (clonal raider ant), 3369 nucleotides. RefSeq lists it as uncharacterized. The record is from RefSeq and is a predicted model, not a curated record. NCBI's taxonomy places the organism in Eukaryota, Metazoa, Arthropoda, Insecta, Hymenoptera, Formicidae.
AAUACUGUGAUAAUUAUCGAUUCGUGGAAGGAAGGGGAAACUGGGGUGUUCAAGAAAUACGUAUACUUGGGUCGAUUUUUGUGAAAUAUUUUCUGUAAUACUCGCUAAUAAACGCUCCUCCGAAUACUUGUUGCUCUCUUCAGCUCGUGUUAUUUAUAUGAAGGGUGCGUUCGCCCCUGUGCUUAUAUUCGUGUUCCUUCCUCAUGAUUAAUAUUCGCCUCUCGUAGCGCGGCAUCGUCACGUUCGUCCGCCGCUGUUGAUCGAUGGCCGCGCGAACGUGUCACGUCGCCCGAAUACUACGAACCUGUGCGUGCGCGGUGCACCUUGGUUCAACGCAACGCAACGCGACGCAACGCAACGGCGCGGCGUUGCAUUUGGGUGAUGGUGUGUCAUGGCGAACCUAAGUAAUCGACAAUUUACAGCCGUAUAUAUAAACUUUGUCUCUCUCUCUCUCUUGUUACGUAUGUUGAAAAUUGUGCUCCACCAUCGUAUCUGAGCGACUUCCUUAUUUGUCUCUCUUUUAUAAGAUUGAUAAAAUUAUUAUUAACAAUUGUCAUUGUUUAUUAUUCAUUUCUUUAUAUUGUGUUUUGUAUCUUGUGACUAUACAGCGAGAUCUUUAUUGUAUGAACUUUGUCAUUUUUAACACUUUAAGAAACGGUCAAAACUCCGCCUCAGAUCGAUUGCAUUUCCGAUUAAUAAUUAGUAAUAUUUAUUCAAUCUAUAAUUGGUGACUCGAUAAUAUAUUGAUCGACCUUUUAUCCUUCUUUUAUCCAUCGAAGUUAUAAGUUAUGUAAGAUGUCGGAUUCGGGCAUUAUCUCGACGGAGAGCGACUUUUCAGGAAAUGACAGAGUAGACGAGUGUGUUGGCACGAAUAGGAAGGACAGUGCAACGAACGGAGAAUCGUGACGCCUACGUCGUGAAUUAUGAUACUGAUACGCUUCAAUAGCAUUCUUUGUCGGUGGUUAUUAAUAUACAUGUCGCACGCGCAUUUUUCAUUGAGCCUACGACACCGGAAGUGAAGAGCACGAGAGUGAAAAUAACGAUUAUUUUGAUAAAGCAAACCUUGUAAAUGCUCGAUGAGAUUACGCUGUGCAAUUACGCGCCCGCGCACUCUCUCUCUCUCUCUCUGUCUAGCAUAUUAAUUAUACUUAUAAGGGUUGAGGGUGCUUUUAUGUAAUUGUAAGGAGACUACAGUUUAUUUAGAAGUUUACAGUUUAUUAAGAAGACUACAGUAUUACGCGCAUUUGUGUGAUUGUAAUAACUUUUAAUGUUUAACGCUGGAAGAUUAAAAAAAGAUGUAUAAAGUGCCUAAAAAAUUAAAACGUCUUUCUUUGAAUAAAGCCAAGGGAGAAAUUUUUAACUCGAUCACAUUUAACAUAAAUAAUAGAAAUUUCGUUAAUUGUUCUUUGUAAGAUUUGCACUCAAUAUUAUUCAUGUUAGAAUGCUUGGUGUACCAGCAUUCUCAUCUCGAAGGGAAUUAGUCUUGACAUUUACCCUAAAUGCGAUUCAUCGAUUUUCUAUAUAUAACAACAUGCAUGUAUAUAUAAAACACAAUGUUUAUGUUAUAUAAAUGCUUGAGAGACUCUGUCCGUCGUCCCGCACUUCGCGUAAAAAUAUAUAUAUAACAGUUAAUUACGGCAAUAAAUUUUAUAAUAGUUUCCCAUUUAACAGUAACUAUGCUUAUAAUUAAAAUUGAUAUCCCAAGAUGUAUAAUUGUAUAAAUAAUUACAAGUUUUCUGUUGCUCUUUUGUGUGCGCGAGUACAUUUCGCGUAAAGGACACGGCGAUAACAUUAAUGAUUAGUCAUAGUGCUGUUGAUAGGAUGAUUGCCUACAUAUCACAAAAUGGAACAUGACUGGCAAAAUGGACAUGUCGAAAUGCGAAGCGUAAUAGUGGCUAUAACGCGAUUAGCAUAGAUUGGAUGAGAGAUCAGCCUCUCUCGUGAAUUUCGCAUUUGUCAUCUGCCAAAAGUGGCUCAAGUUUGCACGCUAUGUUUUCCCGUGAACACCGACCACGUGCUCGAGACACAUAAUACGCGACGCUAGGGAGAGUUCUCCGUGAUGUCGGCCACGUCAGACCGCCGCUCAACCCUCAGCCAGUAGCUAAAUAUAUAUGAAUACAAAAUGUAUAGCUAGAGCGUGCGCGAGCUCGCCUCAGGGCCACAUCGGCCUCGUCCAAACGAUGGUUAAGUCAACCCUCCGGAUGUAGAAGAAUCGGAGGAUUAACUCUCCAACGCUAUGAAUUCGCUUGUGUGCCUUUUAUUCGAAAAUUUGUACAAAAUUUCUCAACAUAUUUAAGGACUGAAAAUCAAAUCGAACCAAAAUAAUUUUCCCAAAAUAUCGAUAAGUCCAGAUAAGUCGAACUUUAACAAUGCGAAUAUGGUAAAUAUGGUUACUUUCGUUCACGAUAACAAAUCAAUCAUUUUUUUCUACGCCAACGCUACGCUUUAGUCUGCAUCAAUUAUGUUCUCUUUGAAUAAGUACGUGUAUUUGCGUUAAAAUAAAAUAACACGUCCCUCAUAUUAUUCAUGGGCACGAAUGUAGCCCACGUUGUCUCGGUUUUAACAUGCGGUAGGAGCGCCAGAUGAUAUAAACGGAUAUUUGUGCCACAGAUUGAUCGUACGGCACCAUUAACCGAUCAUGCGACGGAUAAUAAGUAGACGGCGAAUACGGACGUGAUGAGAUAUAUAUGUCAAGUAUUACCCUUGAGCACUCGGUUAGAGAAUAUUGUAUCAGUGACAUUAGGAUUUGCUCCAUAUUCUACGCCUCAAUAGUCUCAAUUACGAACUCUAACGACAUGAUCGGACUGACGGACAGAGACCGCAAGUGUUGUGCAACGCACGAUCGAAUUUCUAUAAAUUUCCGUACUGAAUUCCCGUGGGAUUCUCAUUACGUAACACGCGCAAGCAAAUCUGCAAGCGUAACUCACCGGAACCGGUGCAGAUUUAUUACACGUGCUUAUCACUUUCGGUCAACACGAGAGCGUUAUCAUGCAGAUGGGAUACAUCGAGAUUGUCGAAGCAGGCAAAGAAACAGCGAUGCAAAUAAAAUAUUUUCUCCUGAUCUAAUAUUUCGUUCGUAAUGGUAUCCAUACGUUAUAUGCCGAAUCAUAUUAAAUUUAAAUAUGAAUAAAGAUUUCUUGACGAAAAUUAAAAUAGCUUUAUCAGAAUUUAAUAGCACUCCAAAUUUUCUUCGAAUUUAAAAGAUAGAUCAGAGACCUUUGUAACACCUUUGUUUCAAGUCAAGAUUGUCUUGCACUAAAAUCGUAAAAUAUCGUUUUACUUGGAAUCCUAAUUAAGCAAUCGUCUUGUUUGAAGAAUUAAAAACUUUCGCAUGUGAAGAAGUUGCUUCAAUUUUCGAUAAGGAAUACA